CAGCAGUCGCCGCGGGAAUACGGAGGAUCCAAGCGUUAUCCGGAAUCAUUGGGUUUAAAGGGUCCGUAGGCGGUCUUGUAAGUCAGUGGUGAAAGCCCAUCGCUCAACGGUGGAACGGCCAUUGAUACUGCAGGACUUGAAUUAUUGGGAAGUAACUAGAAUAUGUAGUGUAGCGGUGAAAUGCUUAGAGAUUACAUGGAAUACCAAUUGCGAAGGCAGGUUACUACCAAUUGAUUGACGCUGAUGGACGAAAGCGUGGGUAGCGAACAGGAUUAGAUACCCGCGUAGUCCCUGUCUCUUAUAC
RNAcentral lists this ribosomal RNA (304 nucleotides) under uncultured bacterium. Its description in RNAcentral is "partial 16S ribosomal RNA". It matches the Rfam family "Bacterial small subunit ribosomal RNA", at positions 509 to 807 of the family's 1533-position model. The record is from RNAcentral.